CAAAAAUUGCCCAGAGCCAAACUUGUGUGGCCAGGGCUGGACGGGGAGCAUCUUGGCCAUCCUGUCCCCAGCCCCAAGGGUCUCCACAUGGGGGAACAUCUCAUUGACCCGCAGGGUGGUAACAAGCUCUGCGGAGAAAGGGGAUAAAAGCUCAACGUAGAUAUCCAUGUUACUGAGAAGGACUCUCAGCCCCCCCGGGAAUGUUAACUUAUUUUGCAUGUGAUGAAUAAUUAAUUUGUUGUGUCUCAUUACCUGAGAGGUGGAGGCUGCACCUUCCUUUCCCUCCGUGCAGCGGUGUUGAUGCUGUCCUCAGAGCCCAGGGAUUUUCAUCGUUUUCUUCUGAUGCCAGAUUGAAAAAGACUCGUCAGGCUGUGAUGGUGGUGGGUUGUCCAAGAUGCUAAGGAUGUGACGACAGGUGAAACUGCCGGAUGAUGCGGGCUGGGGUGAGCACCUGGGCUGGGAGCAAAGCCAAGGAGCGACGCCGGCGCUUCGGACGGGCUUGGGAUUUGCCUUCAGCCUCCGCGGCGUGGAUAAAGCUGUUCCGAAGUGCAGCGUCCACAGGAGGCUGAAAAGGUGGUUUCCUGGAGGAGGAGGGCAACGCCAGCCUGUGGCAUCCCUCAUUCUUCACCUUUGAGUGUGGGCACCCAGAAACCGGUGGCCUCUCGCAAUGCCACUUUAUUUCUUGCAUUGCCACCGAGCCUGGGGAACACCUUGCGCCACAGCCCGUAUGUCCAUGCAUGUUGGGUCCGGGCUUGGACAAACCUGGGAGUCGUUCAUCUGAGGUUGUGCUCCCCUGUGUAAGGGGACUGUGUUGUGGGGUGAGGAUCAGGCCUUAAAACCUUCCCCUUUAUGGCCCUGAAUUGCUCCUGGACUGUGUGGUUUUAUUCCAAAUUCUCAAGUCCUUUAGGCCCACUGAAAGGAGAUGGAUGGUGAAUAGCUGAGCUCCUCCUGCGGCUUCUCAGUGAAGCCUCUGAGUUUCUCCAGGCAUGUGCAGGCGUCUGCACUUCCCUUGUCUCAGGCUUGCAGGAGUCCUCUUGGUAAUCCCCUGGGAUGAGCUACGGAGACCUGGGGAUUUCAGAAGUUUCCAAAUGGUGUGUAGACUUGAGUGCUU
Molecule: long non-coding RNA, 1111 nt
Filed under: Apteryx owenii (little spotted kiwi)
Lineage: Eukaryota; Metazoa; Chordata; Aves; Apterygiformes; Apterygidae
Description: lncRNA (ENSAOWG00000003112.1)
Source: RNAcentral